UCCGUAGGUGAACCUGCGGAAGGAUCAUUACCGAGUGAGGGCCCUCUGGGUCCAACCUCCCACCCGUGUUUAUUUUACCUUGUUGCUUCGGCGGGCCCGCCUUAACUGGCCGCCGGGGGGCUUACGCCCCCGGGCUCGCGCCCGCCGAAGACACCCUCGAACUCUGUCUGAAGAUUGUAGUCUGAGUGAAAAUAUAAAUUAUUUAAAACUUUCAACAACGGAUCUCUUGGUUCCGGCAUCGAUGAAGAACGCAGCGAAAUGCGAUACGUAAUGUGAAUUGCAAAUUCAGUGAAUCAUCGAGUCUUUGAACGCACAUUGCGCCCCCUGGUAUUCCGGGGGGCAUGCCUGUCCGAGCGUCAUUGCUGCCCUCAAGCACGGCUUGUGUGUUGGGCCCCGUCCUCCGAUCCCGGGGGACGGGCCCGAAAGGCAGCGGCGGCACCGCGUCCGGUCCUCGAGCGUAUGGGGCUUUGUCACCCGCUCUGUAGGCCCGGCCGGCGCUUGCCGAUCAACCCAAAUUUUUAUCCAGGUUGACCUCGGAUCAGGUAGGGAUACCCGCUGAACUUAAGCAUAUCAAUAAGCGGAGGAA
This 586-nucleotide ribosomal RNA is filed under the name uncultured fungus. RNAcentral describes it as "eukaryotic LSU rRNA". The stretch from base 207 to 359 matches the Rfam family "5.8S ribosomal RNA". Lineage: Eukaryota; Fungi. The record is from RNAcentral.